This is a non-coding RNA of Paramormyrops kingsleyae, 1806 nucleotides long. NCBI's taxonomy places the organism in Eukaryota, Metazoa, Chordata, Actinopteri, Osteoglossiformes, Mormyridae. The record is from RefSeq and is a predicted model, not a curated record.
UCUGAUCAGGGACUGAUUUCUCCCUUCGCAAAGAUUAAACACGGGAGGGAAAAUCACUAAGCGGCACCGGUCUGGGCAAGCCGGGCUCAGAGGAAGGAGGGACCGGAGGGAGAGGAGCGAGGGGCGGCUAGGCUGGGAUCGUUCCUUGCUCGGGCACUAGCACGCGGUACCGGCUCGGCUCCGAUUGCAGCCCUGCAGGAGAGAACGGCUAUACGGAAAAGCAAAGGCAUCGCAUUUCAGGCAAGUCGCAGCCGGAUCCAGAGACAGGAGCUGUCUUUAACGAGGCGGGAGUCUCAACUCUUCCCCCUCACGGUUCCCAAAGGCUUUCCUGUCUCACGUGAAAAAUGCCCUGAUUGAAUUCUGGAACAGCUUGAGUAAACAAACAAACAUACAUCUAUUUAAAGAGGACAGGCGUCCUCGGUCCGUGCUGAAGAUGCAAACUGCUGUCCCAUUUUAAGCAUCAAAGUGUCCUUAACGUGUAUUUUACACACUUCACAGUAACAUUUCUACCAACAUUAUAAAGUAUGGAGUAUAUGGUAUUACUGGGGAAAUAUGGGGAAAUUACCUCUUGUUAGCCUACUGCAAUGUGCUUUAUUUAAUUGUGAACGUUGCUUUCAUAAAAAAUACCAUCAGUUUUUAAAUCAUUUAUUGCAAUACCUUCAAAUGAAGAGGUACUUCUGAACUAAGUUCACAUUUCAAAACAGUAUGUCUAACGUUACAUAUGACUGUCAUGCGUGUAAAAUCAAUUUACUCUUGUUCUCGUCAGCUGUGUUGUGCAAUCCAGUUAGGUACAGGACUGCGUUUCAUCUGACUUAGAUGCAAAGGACACGAUCCCCAAAAGAGUAUCGCUUCAGUGAUGCGCUCAGAAUAAAACCGUCUGUCUAAGGAAGAACAAUCACAGCACUCGCUUUCUCAGAAUGAGUGAAUCAAUUCGGCUGCGCAGCGGGGGACGGCACACCGUGUCACAUCCGAGAAGGUGAUACCCCGACCUCGCAGAUAACAGCACCGGCAACGUGCAACCCGGAGUGCUCCACAAUGUCCAAGUGACAGUGAAUCACACGGGCGCUCCUCACCCGUCAGACAAAACAGCGUCCCGUCUGUGAUUUGUGAGUGCUGGCCCACGUACAUCAGGAGUAAUUAAAGAAGCUUUGGGUCCAGGGAGAAGAUGGGCCGGGGACCGCUCUGGGUUUGAGGAGGAGAAACCAUGAUGACCAAGCCCAACCCCACCCACACGUUACCUGUCUGGACUCAAGGUGAGCCGUGCAAAACGACGGCGUGACUUUGCCGAGUCCUCCUGACAGUUACCGAAUGGCGCCGCCCUCAAUGCCCCUCCCCCGAUCGGGUUUCAGGCGCCGUGCGAGCGUUACAUAAUGUCGGCGUCUCUCGUCUGGUGCUUUGAGCGUGCUCGGGGGAGAUUGACGCAAGGGGCGGGACGAGAAGAGUCAAGGGUACGGCGGCGACAGUGGCGAGCCGGGGACGAUGAGAAGGGCUUGGUAAGUAUGAAAAACACCGCUCACAAAAACGGCUCUAUACAGCCUUUUGCCUGUGAUUAACUCCCUUGUGAUUAACGUUCAUGCGUCUGUUCCAAAUUUUCAGAAGGUUCCACAAAGAGCAAUAGGGAACCGAUGUGCCCUGUAGAGGAAACUUCGGGUCUGUCGCAUUCAGUGUGUACUGUAUGUCCUACUGACUCCCAGAGUGUUUUGGAGAAACUCGUGAAAUUAGAGCACUGAGGCCAAACUCAUUUGAAAAGGGUCUCUUUUUUGACUGCCCAGAGAAGUAUUUCACGUGGCAAAAAUAUAGCAACAA